Molecule: ribosomal RNA, 460 nt
Filed under: uncultured bacterium
Lineage: Bacteria
Description: partial 16S ribosomal RNA
Rfam family: Bacterial small subunit ribosomal RNA
Source: RNAcentral
CCUACGGGUGGCAGCAGUGAGGAAUAUUGGUCAAUGGACGAGAGUCUGAUCCAGCCAAGUAGCGUGAAGGAUGACUGCCCUAUGGGCUGUAAACUUCGUUUAUAUGGGAAUAAAAUGUUCCACGUGUGGGAUUUUGUAUGUAUCAUAUGAAUAAGGAUCGGCUAACUCCGUGCCAGCAGCCGCGGUAAUACGGAGGGUCCGAGCGUUAUCCGGAUAUAUUGGGUUUAAAGGGAGCGUAGGUGGAUUGUUAAGUCAGUUGUGAAAGUUUGCGGCUCAACCGUAAAAUUGCAUUUGAAACUGGCAGUCUUGAGUACAGGAGAGGUGAGCGGAAUUCGUGGUGUAGCGGUGAAAUGCUUAGAUAUCACGAAGAACUCCGAUUGCGAAGGCAGCUCACUGGACUGCAACUGACACUGAGGCUCGAAAGUGUGGGUAGCAAACAGGAUUAGAUACCCGUGUAGUC